This 152-nucleotide non-coding RNA is filed under the name Streptomyces zinciresistens. The record is from RNAcentral. Lineage: Bacteria; Bacillati; Actinomycetota; Actinomycetes; Kitasatosporales; Streptomycetaceae.
GCCGUGUCCCUGACACGCGGUACCUUCUCGUCGAUACCGACGACGGUUCGUGGAAGCCGGUGGGAUUCCGGCACGGUCGCGCCACUGUAUGCCGGGCGCGCACCUUCGGGUGCGGCCGGGUGAGUCAGACCCGCCCCGUCGUCCUGUGCACC